Molecule: long non-coding RNA, 804 nt
Filed under: Equus asinus (donkey)
Lineage: Eukaryota; Metazoa; Chordata; Mammalia; Perissodactyla; Equidae
Description: lncRNA (ENSEASG00005038513.1)
Source: RNAcentral
CUUGUGUUUUAAAUGUCUUUGCUCUUUUAAUUUUUUAGUAAUUGAUAUUUGUUACACUUUUUUAAAAGUCUCAGUCCAAAACAGAAUGAAAAAAACCAAAACUGGUCCUUCACCACAGGUAGUUUGAGACACGCUGAUUUAAAAUAGCAGCUCGCAAUCCUGUCCUAACCUGCUUUAUUUUAAUUCAUGACUCUUACUAACACCUAACACAUUAUAUACCUACAACUAAUUGAUAAUUUGAUUAUUGCUCAUCUCUCUGACUAGAGUGUAGCUGAGUGAGGAUAGGGCCGUCCCAAGUCACCAUCAUACAAUAUUAGACAUCUCUGUUACCAAAUAUUUUCUCUUAAUUAGCACUGUUAGUAUAGCUCCGUGAUAGCAAUUGUUCUAAUUUUCAGAGACCUGGGAAUCCUGAUAAUGGAAAAUGUACCACCCAGAAAUAUUUCCUGAGGCCUGAGCAUACUCACAAAUAAUAGAAUGAGCCAUGGGACUGCUAUUUAAGAACAAGCUGCUGCCACAGCAAGGCCACUGACAGACAAGUGAUGUAGGUCUGCGCCCAGGAACCGAACUCAGGCUGCUGAAGAGGAACACGCUGAACUUAACCACUAGGCCACUGGGGCUGGCCCAGAAACAGAUUUUUUGAUUCAGAAGAACAUACCCGGGGUGCUUCAGAGGAAAAGGAAUCCAUGAGAAAUUCCUGGUUCGAAAAGGAAUUAUUAAUGACCUAACUAUGUAAGCAAGACAUCAGCCACCCACCCUAUGAUGACCAAGCUUGUGGCUCCUGGACCAGGUCCAGAAGGAUGAGGU